RNAcentral lists this ribosomal RNA (320 nucleotides) under uncultured Prevotella sp. Its description in RNAcentral is "partial 16S ribosomal RNA". The record is from RNAcentral. Lineage: Bacteria; Pseudomonadati; Bacteroidota; Bacteroidia; Bacteroidales; Prevotellaceae.
GGAGUUUGGACCGUGUCUCAGUUCCAAUGUGGGGGACCUUCCUCUCAGAACCCCUACUGAUCGUCGGCUAGGUGGGCCGUUACCCCGCCUACUACCUAAUCAGACGCAUCCCCAUCCCUUAGCGGUGAACCUUUGCUUCAUUUCAGAUGUCCUCUACGAAGAACAUAGGGUAUUAAUCCGAUUUUCACCGGGCUAUGCCCUACUAAGGGGAAGGUUGGAUACGCGUUACUCACCCGUGCGCCGGUCGCCAGCAACAAUAGCAAGCUAUCGUCCUGCUGCCCCUCGACUUGCAUGUGUUAAGCCUGUAGCUAGCGUUCAUC